Molecule: ribosomal RNA, 207 nt
Filed under: uncultured bacterium
Lineage: Bacteria
Description: partial 16S ribosomal RNA
Rfam family: Bacterial small subunit ribosomal RNA
Source: RNAcentral
AGUGUAGGUGGUCGAGUAAGUCGGAUGUGAAAGCCCUGGGCUUAACCCGGGAACUGCAUUCGAUACUGCUUGGCUAGAGUCUGAUAGAGGGAAGUGGAAUUCCAGGUGUAGCGGUGAAAUGCGUAGAUAUCUGGAGGAACAUCAGUGGCGAAGGCGGCUUCCUGGAUCAAGACUGACACUGAGGCUCGAAAGCGUGGGGAGCAAACA